RNAcentral lists this ribosomal RNA (253 nucleotides) under uncultured bacterium. RNAcentral describes it as "partial 16S ribosomal RNA". It matches the Rfam family "Bacterial small subunit ribosomal RNA", at positions 524 to 776 of the family's 1533-position model. The record is from RNAcentral.
UACGAAGGGGGCGAGCGUUGUUCGGAUUUACUGGGCGUAAAGGGCGCGUAGGCGGCCGAUCAAGUCAGGCGUGAAAGCCCCGGGCUCAACCUGGGAAUGGCGCUUGGGACUGGUUGGCUUGAGUUCGGGAGAGGAGAGUGGAAUUCCCAGUGUAGAGGUGAAAUUCGUAGAUAUUGGGAAGAACACCGGUGGCGAAGGCGGCUCUCUGGACCGAGACUGACGCUGAGGCGCGAAAGCGUGGGGAUCAAACAGG